Myodes glareolus (Bank vole) is the source of this 606-nucleotide long non-coding RNA. RefSeq lists it as uncharacterized. NCBI's taxonomy places the organism in Eukaryota, Metazoa, Chordata, Mammalia, Rodentia, Cricetidae. The record is from RefSeq and is a predicted model, not a curated record.
AGCAUGGGGGGGGGGCUGAGGUCUGAGGGAAAGAACGCAGGGACGUGGACAUGCCUAUACAGCUCCAGGCACGGUGCAGACAGGCACCGGGCAAAAUUCUCUGAGAUUCCGCUGGGAGAAGCAGACUUCAUUGGGCAAAAGGCACUGAGUGUAUACUGCGUUGCCAGUCCACUGCAGAAGGCAGGACAGCCACUAACCAAGGUCAUUCUGCUUGCCUGGCACACAGUUUCUAGUAAGAGACACAGGACUUAAUGAGAAGCCAGCACCAUCUCUGGACCGCCCAGUGGAGGCAGAGGUCCUUUGGGUGGGUGCUACUGAGGAACCAGUCUGACUCCAUUUUGAGUGAAAGUUGAGUUGCUUUCUGUUUCCUAGAAUCUUCCCAUGACUUUGAUUUUUUUGAGAAUAUCCUGACCUCUCCCUAAUCACACUGGAUCAGUGGAUGACCAGAAGAUGUUUUUUAAAGUUUUUUUUUUUAUUUCCUUAUUGCCCCAUUGUCUCCCUUCUUGAAAACUACUCCUGAUUUUACGACUUAGAAAGGGGCCAAGAGGUGGGUUCCAGGCUGCUCUCUUUACCCCGACUUAGGAGGUGGUUGCUGGCUAGCUCUUG